CUCCAUUAUUUUAUACUGCUUUUUUUCCUGUUCUAUAUGGUUUUAUAACCCACAGCAGAAUGUAAAUUUUGUGUUCCAAAAACCCUAAAUAAAUAUUACUCGGCAAUGAUUGCCCAUAUAUGUGUUGAUCUGUACUUAGCAGAGUAAAAUAAGACAGAAAUCUGAUUAUCCACUUCUGCCACUGCAAAGGAACUCAUCUUAACAUGCAUAAUGUAAUUCAUGCCAACAGUUAGAAAUUGGGAUGUUGGUUAAGAUAUGCAUCUAAAUCAUAUAUAAUGAUUUUUUUUUUUUUUUUUUUAUUAUGACAUAAUCAGAUGUGAUUUUACAUCCUUUUGUAAAAACAAUAAGUUAUAUUAAAGCGCUGACUGACUUUUUGGGGGGGAUGAGCAGGGGGAGAAUUUGCUAAAAUAUGGUAUUCUAACAACAUUAGAUUGCCUUGAGCCUUCUGUCCACAUAAUUACGCACUAAAAUACAUGACCUCUCGUUAUCUUUAACAGUGUCUUCAGUCUCUCUUAUUAAUUGCUGUACAUAGAAAAACUGCUGUCAUCUGAUCCAUAUUGACGGAAUACAACUAGAAUACACACCUGCUUUAAUAGAGAAAACCCUGUAACAUAUUGGUUUUGCACUGAAACAUACACUUUGAGGUCAGUGUCUCUGCUGCAGUUCCUGUUUAGAUAACAAUAGAUUUAAUUGCAACCUGCAAUAUUAGUUUUCAAUCUAACUAGGAGGAUUCCCUGUAGCAAUGUUGUUGUGUAGAUUGUAUUAAUAGGUCAGUGAGGAGUCGGCAUUUGAGCGCAUUAAACUGGCAAGGAGAUGCUUUUACCCAAUAAAAUCUAAUUCUAUUAGAAAUUAUUAGCUUCCCCUUGAGGUCUACUUCACGAAUACAUUCCAAGGUGCGCAAAUAAGCAGGCUCAUAAAUAUACACAUCGAUGCCAAUUAAAAGCUCAAUUAUAACAAGAUCCACUCACACAUUUUCAAAGAAAUGUUUUAUAUAUACAACAGAAUUUCACCUCUGGAUGAAAACAACGCAUCAUCUGUUUUAGUGUAUUUACAUUUGUGUCACAUUGUGUAUCCUCUGUUGUCCCUUUCUUUGUACAGUUUAAUAGAAUAAGCUGG
This is a non-coding RNA of Pelobates cultripes (western spadefoot toad), 1116 nucleotides long. The record is from the annotation of a GenBank genome assembly. NCBI's taxonomy places the organism in Eukaryota, Metazoa, Chordata, Amphibia, Anura, Pelobatidae.